Pseudonaja textilis is the source of this 98-nucleotide non-coding RNA. Lineage: Eukaryota; Metazoa; Chordata; Lepidosauria; Squamata; Elapidae. The record is from RefSeq and is a predicted model, not a curated record.
UUUUGUAGAAUUUUCCUCCCAUGUCUCUUGUGAUGUGCUAGGAACUUCUCCCCAGAUCUUUAAAUUUGAUCAAAGAAUAAAAGUGAGCCUUUGGGGCA